GCACCUAUAGCUCAGUGGUAGAGCGUUCCACUCGUAUUGGUGUACGAUCUAUGGAAAGGUCCGCGGUUCGAUCCCGCGUCGGUGCA
RNAcentral lists this transfer RNA (86 nucleotides) under Aspergillus novofumigatus IBT 16806. RNAcentral describes it as "Aspergillus novofumigatus (strain IBT 16806) tRNA". It matches the Rfam family "tRNA". Rfam says of the family: Transfer RNA (tRNA) molecules are approximately 80 nucleotides in length. Lineage: Eukaryota; Fungi; Ascomycota; Eurotiomycetes; Eurotiales; Aspergillaceae. The record is from Rfam by way of RNAcentral.